UUGUACCAAAACACAAAAUAAUCUUUAAAAAAACACAUUUAUAAACAUAUUUCAUAACUUAAAAUGGUAACGUAUAUCUAAGAACCCUCCCAACACUCCUAAAUUUUUUAGCUGCUCUGAGUUUUGGGUGAUUUACACAUCCCACAUCGAUGUAGCAGCCACCAGGCGAAACUUAAGAAGCUCCUAGCCCCCGGACGAAUACAACACAUCUUAUGCAUGGGAAAUUUAAGUACCAAAGAAUAGUACGAUUAUUUGAAAUCAAUUUAAAUUAUCCCGAACAAAAAGUGGUUACGGUGGAGCAAUUCCGAAUUGGAUUAACACGGUCAUCAAGUUGUACCGUGGGGCGAUCCAGACUCUUUAUUACUCAUUAUUUAAAUAAAAUCAAUUUAUAAUAA
This is a non-coding RNA of Onthophagus taurus, 395 nucleotides long. The record is from RefSeq and is a predicted model, not a curated record. NCBI's taxonomy places the organism in Eukaryota, Metazoa, Arthropoda, Insecta, Coleoptera, Scarabaeidae.